UACGAAGGGUGCAAGCGUUACUCGGAAUUACUGGGCGUAAAGCGUGCGUAGGUGGUUCGUUAAGUCUGAUGUGAAAGCCCUAGGCUCAACCUGGGAAUGGCAUUGGAUACUGGCGACCUAGAGUGCGGUAGAGGGGUGUGGAAUUCCCGGUGUAGCAGUGAAAUGCGUAGAUAUCGGGAGGAACAUCUGUGGCGAAGGCGACACCCUGGACCAGCACUGACACUGAGGCACGAAAGCGUGGGGAGCAAACAGG
This 253-nucleotide ribosomal RNA is filed under the name uncultured bacterium. RNAcentral describes it as "partial 16S ribosomal RNA". It matches the Rfam family "Bacterial small subunit ribosomal RNA", at positions 524 to 776 of the family's 1533-position model. The record is from RNAcentral.